AGUACAGGUUCCAAGGUGACCAAGAAUAUGACAAGCAGAGAGUUACAAUAUUUAUUGGAGUGGUUUAUGGGACUUUUCAAGUUAAAACUUCCUUGACCUCAUAACCAAAUUUGGGAUUGCUAGCAAGUGCUAAGAAGAAUAGAAAGAAGAAAAUGAAAUUGACUGUCAUGGUUAGGAACUACCAAUGGAACUUUGCUGUGUAUCAACUUUGGUUUUGUGAUAAUUAAGAUGUUCCAUGCCCAAUCUUUGAUGUGGCUCCGCCUAAGAAGAAAGCUAGAAUGAAGGCAAAAGCUCACUGUCGAUGUAUAAACGGAGACUCCAUGUGAGGUAAAAUUUUCGAGACUAAGAAUUUGUUUUGUAUCUUUUAACCAUUGACCUAUAGGAAUCAAGAUCAGUUGUAAGUAGAGGAUCUAGUGUGACCAGGUGCAAAAUGAAGGUUUCUAAAAAAGGCCCAAUCUCUUCAAAUAUUGAGCAAAAAGUGGAGGGAGCACUUCAACCAAAAGUUCAUAGUUAAAGACCAAGCUACUCAAAAGCCAUCUAAAGGUCCAGUUGGCCAAUGUAGCUCCUCCAAACAACCAACAACCAAUCUUGAAGAAAGUUCCUUGCCUAUAGGUUCAUAACUCAACAAUAUCAUUGAAAUAUUACAUAUCCUAUUUCUAGUUGUUCACCUUUAUAGGACACUGCACAUAAUAUGCUGGAAUACUUGUAGAAGUUAAAAGCUUGCCCUAGCUCACUUGCCCCAUUGUAUGGAAGCACCAAAGUCAAGUUUCGAAGCUGAAACUUCCCCAAGUGAAAAUGAACUAAAAGCAACUAUGAACAAGGUCAAUGAAGGUUUAUCGGUGGGCCUGACAAUUUUUCUUAACCAUAAGGCUGAUAAAGAGUUAAAAGAUGACUUGCAAAAAUCUCCAAUGUUUCAAAAAGAUGAUAAGCAUUGGCCAAAAUGUUGCUCUUGGGGCCUUUUUGAGGGAACUGGAUGUGCUUUCAGUUCAGUAUAAAACUACUGACAAAUUACCAAGGUGUUUGCAAGGAGAAAAGCACGAGAAUUAGCCAAAAAAAAAAACUUUUGAAAUGAAGGUUGAAAAGCUUAAGGAGAUAAAGAUCCAAACCUGCAAAAACCUGGAGAGGAUUCAAACAUUGGAGGUAGAGCUAGCUACUUUGAAGAGGGAGCAAGACUGUCUUUUGGCAGAAAGCAAGACAUGUAGAAAGAUAGCUGAAGAAAACAUUUUCAAGUCUGACUGUUGAGCUACAGAAGCUUCAGCCUAAAGAAGAGGCUGCCAAAAAGGAUAUGACCAAUGUCUCUAGUCCUUUUGUUACAUUGAAAUCAUCUUUGUUAUAAUCAAUCAGUAUGCUUUUCAAUCUUGUACAUAGUUUUCCCCUAGCCAACUGCUGUGUUUGCUCUUUGAACAAUUUAUAAAAGUUGAUCAUUGGGAGGCUUGAUCUU
This is a long non-coding RNA of Hevea brasiliensis (rubber tree), 1441 nucleotides long. RefSeq lists it as uncharacterized. The record is from RefSeq and is a predicted model, not a curated record. The transcript is spliced from 2 exons. NCBI's taxonomy places the organism in Eukaryota, Viridiplantae, Streptophyta, Magnoliopsida, Malpighiales, Euphorbiaceae.